GCAGCAGGCCGGGCCCCUCUGGCGCAGCAAUUUCCAAUGCUGCGUGAUGUCGGACUGCUACG
This is a non-coding RNA of Sphingomonadales bacterium, 62 nucleotides long. The record is from Rfam. NCBI's taxonomy places the organism in Bacteria, Pseudomonadati, Pseudomonadota, Alphaproteobacteria, Sphingomonadales.